RNAcentral lists this unclassified non-coding RNA (328 nucleotides) under soil metagenome. RNAcentral describes it as "partial contains 5.8S ribosomal RNA, internal transcribed spacer 2, and large subunit ribosomal RNA". The stretch from base 1 to 120 matches the Rfam family "5.8S ribosomal RNA", at positions 35 to 154 of the family's 154-position model. The record is from RNAcentral.
GAUGAAGAACGUAGCGAAAUGCGAUAAGUAAUGUGAAUUGCAGAAUUCAGUGAAUCAUCGAAUCUUUGAACGCACAUUGCGCCCCUUGGUAUUCCGAGGGGCAUGCCUAUUCGAGCGUCAUUAUCACCCCUCAAGCUCCGGCUUGGUGUUGAGGCCUGCUGUAAAGGCACCCUCUAAAAUCAGUGGCAGUGCUGUCAGGCUCUAAGCGUAGUAAUUCUCUCGCUACAGGGUCCCGGUGGACACUCGCCAGAACCCCCCCAUUUUUUAAUGAUUGACCUCGGAUUAGGUAGGGAUACCCGCUGAACUUAAGCAUAUCAAUAGCGGAGGA